Molecule: transfer RNA, 71 nt
Filed under: Candidatus Moraniibacteriota bacterium
Lineage: Bacteria; Candidatus Moraniibacteriota
Description: tRNA-Tyr
Rfam family: tRNA
About the family: Transfer RNA (tRNA) molecules are approximately 80 nucleotides in length. Their secondary structure includes four short double-helical elements and three loops (D, anti-codon, and T loops).
Source: RNAcentral
GGGCGUAUGGUGAAAUGGUAUCACGCUCGGCUGUAGACCGACAGUUCUUGGUUCGAAUCCUUGUGCGCCCA